UGGGGAAUAUUGCACAAUGGAGGGAACUCUGAUGCAGCGACGCCGCGUGAACGAAGAAGGCUUUCGAGUCGUAAAGUUCUUUUAUAUGGGAAGAUAAUGACGGUACCAUAAGAAAAAGCCCCGGCUAACUACGUGCCAGCAGCCGCGGUAAUACGUAGGGGGCUAGCGUUGUCCGGAAUCACUGGGCGUAAAGGGUUCGCAGGCGGAAAUGCAAGUCAGGUGUAAAAGGCAGUAGCUUAACUACUGUAAGCAUUUGAAACUGCAUAUCUUGAGAAGAGUAGAGGUAAGUGGAAUGGUUAGUGUAGCGGUGAAGUGCGUAGAUAUUAAAAAGAAUACCGGUGGCGAAGGCGACUUACUGGACUUAAACUGACGCUAAGACACGAAAGCGUGGGGAGCAAACAGG
RNAcentral lists this ribosomal RNA (403 nucleotides) under Fusobacteriota bacterium. RNAcentral's name for it is "Fusobacteria bacterium partial 16S ribosomal RNA". It matches the Rfam family "Bacterial small subunit ribosomal RNA", at positions 355 to 776 of the family's 1533-position model. Lineage: Bacteria; Fusobacteriati; Fusobacteriota. The record is from RNAcentral.